AGAGUUUGAUCAUGGCUCAGGAUGAACGCUGGCGAGAUGCCUUACACAUGCAAGUCAUACGAGAAUUUUUAAUUCAAGUGGCGGACGGGUGAGUAACACGUAAGAAUUUGCCUUUAGGAGGGGGACAACAACUGGAAACGGUUGCUAAUACCCCAUAUGCUUUCGAGUGAAACGGAAUUUUCCGCCUAAAGAGAAGCUUGCGGCUGAUUAGCUUGUUGGUGAGGUAAUGGCUUACCAAGGCGACGAUCAGUAUCUGGUUUGAGAGGAUGAUCAGACACACUGGAACUGAGACACGGUCCAGACUCCUACGGGAGGCAGCAGUGGGGAAUUUUCCGCAAUGGGCGAAAGCCUGACGGAGCAAUCUCGCGUGAGGGAUGACGGCCUAUGGGUUGUAAACCUCUUUUUUCAGGGAGGAAUAAAUGACGUGUACCUGAAGAAUAAGCAUCGGCUAACUCCGUGCCAGCAGCCGCGGUAAGACGGAGGAUGCAAGUGUUAUCCGGAAUCACUGGGCGUAAAGCGUCUGUAGGUGGUUUGAUAAGUCAACUGUUAAAUCUUGAAGCUCAACUUCAAAAUCGCAGUCGAAACUAUCAGACUAGAGUAUAGUAGGGGUAAAGGG
This 616-nucleotide ribosomal RNA is filed under the name uncultured Crater Lake bacterium CL0-45. RNAcentral describes it as "bacterial SSU rRNA". It matches the Rfam family "Bacterial small subunit ribosomal RNA", at positions 8 to 664 of the family's 1533-position model. The record is from RNAcentral.